Molecule: long non-coding RNA, 858 nt
Organism: Carassius gibelio (silver crucian carp)
Lineage: Eukaryota; Metazoa; Chordata; Actinopteri; Cypriniformes; Cyprinidae
Exons: 3
Source: RefSeq, a predicted model, not a curated record
AGAUGUUAAAAGCAAGAGACAUGGGAGAUCAUCAUUCCCUUGAGAUUUUAUAAAUCAAACCAACUUUGGAGUUGUCUGAUUUGGAGAGUCAUUAUUCUUGGUCUGCGCUCUUAGAGGCCACUGAUGAAGAACAGGCGGUGACUGGAUGAAUGCUGGUCAGAGAGGAGAAUCUUCUUUCCCCUAAACAGCGGUGGUUUUAAAGGAGGACGCUGCCCUGGAUGAUGUAGAAGAAGUCAGAUGCUGUGCUGAUGGGGUUUCUUCAUGACUACAUCAGUUAUGCUAAAGAGAUCAUGAAAAUUGACCGUGAUGCAUGAUCUGUAUUCAUGGACUAUGAAACAAACUGUAAGUGUAUAAUUUGUUAAAAAAAAAAAGUUAAAUGCUUUUUCUGUGUUUAGUAGAAAAGUUUACACUCUGUCAUUCAUACACCUGCUCACAUUCUUUCACACACACACACACACACAUGCGUCUGUUAAAGGUUAUAAUAUCAAAGUUAAUGUUGUGAUUUAUUUGUGUACUGUCAUGCCAGAAUAGUUGGAAAAAAAACUAACUAAUUGUAAAUUAAUUGUAUGUGUUUUCGUAUAUUUUUAUACAAUAUAUACAACUGAACAAAGUCCCAUUUGAUCUUAAGUUAUAUUCAUCAAAUGUUCAAUGCUUUGUUUAUGAACUCUGUAGCUGUUAAUGCCAUCCUUUUCUGCAUUUCUUCUAACAUGUUACUUUUUGACUUUUCUCUUGUUUUUAAUAAAUAUUUUCCUUUUGAUAAUUAUUAUUUGUGUGUAAAAGUGAUAUUUAAAAUGAACAACAUUUGUAGGUUUAAUGCCUAGCUCAAUUUGGGUUAAUUUUAACGUAGAAAUGCAUUGU